AAGUGUGCAGGGCACUGAU
This 19-nucleotide microRNA is filed under the name Macaca mulatta (Rhesus monkey). Its description in RNAcentral is "mml-miR-648". Its record names the gene mml-miR-648. The record is from miRBase by way of RNAcentral. Lineage: Eukaryota; Metazoa; Chordata; Mammalia; Primates; Cercopithecidae.